RNAcentral lists this ribosomal RNA (2902 nucleotides) under Klebsiella pneumoniae. RNAcentral's name for it is "23S ribosomal RNA". It matches the Rfam family "Bacterial large subunit ribosomal RNA". Lineage: Bacteria; Pseudomonadati; Pseudomonadota; Gammaproteobacteria; Enterobacterales; Enterobacteriaceae. The record is from RNAcentral.
GGUUAAGCGACUAAGCGUACACGGUGGAUGCCCUGGCAGUCAGAGGCGAUGAAGGACGUGCUAAUCUGCGAAAAGCGUCGGUAAGGUGAUAUGAACCGUUAUAACCGGCGAUGUCCGAAUGGGGAAACCCAGUGCAAUUCGUUGCACUAUCGUUAACUGAAUACAUAGGUUAACGAGGCGAACCGGGGGAACUGAAACAUCUAAGUACCCCGAGGAAAAGAAAUCAACCGAGAUUCCCCCAGUAGCGGCGAGCGAACGGGGAGCAGCCCAGAGUCUGAAUCAGCUUGUGUGUUAGUGGAACGGUCUGGAAAGUCCGACGGUACAGGGUGAUAGUCCCGUACACCAAAAUGCACAGGUUGUGAACUCGAAGAGUAGGGCGGGACACGUGGUAUCCUGUCUGAAUAUGGGGGGACCAUCCUCCAAGGCUAAAUACUCCUGACUGACCGAUAGUGAACCAGUACCGUGAGGGAAAGGCGAAAAGAACCCCGGCGAGGGGAGUGAAAAAGAACCUGAAACCGUGUACGUACAAGCAGUGGGAGCACCUUCGGGUGUGACUGCGUACCUUUUGUAUAAUGGGUCAGCGACUUAUAUUCUGUAGCAAGGUUAACCGUAUAGGGGAGCCGCAGGGAAACCGAGUCUUAACUGGGCGUUAAGUUGCAGGGUAUAGACCCGAAACCCGGUGAUCUAGCCAUGGGCAGGUUGAAGGUUGGGUAACACUAACUGGAGGACCGAACCGACUAAUGUUGAAAAAUUAGCGGAUGACUUGUGGCUGGGGGUGAAAGGCCAAUCAAACCGGGAGAUAGCUGGUUCUCCCCGAAAGCUAUUUAGGUAGCGCCUCGUGAAUUCAUCUUCGGGGGUAGAGCACUGUUUCGGCUAGGGGGUCAUCCCGACUUACCAACCCGAUGCAAACUACGAAUACCGAAGAAUGUUAUCACGGGAGACACACGGCGGGUGCUAACGUCCGUCGUGAAGAGGGAAACAACCCAGACCGCCAGCUAAGGUCCCAAAGUCAUGGUUAAGUGGGAAACGAUGUGGGAAGGCACAGACAGCCAGGAUGUUGGCUUAGAAGCAGCCAUCAUUUAAAGAAAGCGUAAUAGCUCACUGGUCGAGUCGGCCUGCGCGGAAGAUGUAACGGGGCUAAACCAUGCACCGAAGCUGCGGCAGCGACACUAUGUGUUGUUGGGUAGGGGAGCGUUCUGUAAGCCUGCGAAGGUGUGCUGUGAGGCAUGCUGGAGGUAUCAGAAGUGCGAAUGCUGACAUAAGUAACGAUAAAGCGGGUGAAAAGCCCGCUCGCCGGAAGACCAAGGGUUCCUGUCCAACGUUAAUCGGGGCAGGGUGAGUCGACCCCUAAGGCGAGGCCGAAAGGCGUAGUCGAUGGGAAACAGGUUAAUAUUCCUGUACUUGGUGUUACUGCGAAGGGGGGACGGAGAAGGCUAUGUUAGCCGGGCGACGGUUGUCCCGGUUUAAGCAUGUAGGCUGGUUAUCCAGGCAAAUCCGGAUAAUCAAGGCUGAGGUGUGAUGACGAGGCACUACGGUGCUGAAGUAACAAAUGCCCUGCUUCCAGGAAAAGCCUCUAAGCAUCAGGUAACAUCAAAUCGUACCCCAAACCGACACAGGUGGUCAGGUAGAGAAUACCAAGGCGCUUGAGAGAACUCGGGUGAAGGAACUAGGCAAAAUGGUGCCGUAACUUCGGGAGAAGGCACGCUGGUGUGUAGGUGAAGCCCCUGCGGGUGGAGCUGAGACCAGUCGAAGAUACCAGCUGGCUGCAACUGUUUAUUAAAAACACAGCACUGUGCAAACACGAAAGUGGACGUAUACGGUGUGACGCCUGCCCGGUGCCGGAAGGUUAAUUGAUGGGGUUAUCCGUAAGGAGAAGCUCUUGAUCGAAGCCCCGGUAAACGGCGGCCGUAACUAUAACGGUCCUAAGGUAGCGAAAUUCCUUGUCGGGUAAGUUCCGACCUGCACGAAUGGCGUAAUGAUGGCCAGGCUGUCUCCACCCGAGACUCAGUGAAAUUGAACUCGCUGUGAAGAUGCAGUGUACCCGCGGCAAGACGGAAAGACCCCGUGAACCUUUACUAUAGCUUGACACUGAACAUUGAGCCUUGAUGUGUAGGAUAGGUGGGAGGCUUUGAAGCGUGGACGCCAGUCUGCGUGGAGCCAACCUUGAAAUACCACCCUUUAAUGUUUGAUGUUCUAACGUUGGCCCCUUACCGGGGUUGCGGACAGUGUCUGGUGGGUAGUUUGACUGGGGCGGUCUCCUCCUAAAGCGUAACGGAGGAGCACGAAGGUUAGCUAAUCCUGGUCGGACAUCAGGAGGUUAGUGCAAUGGCAUAAGCUAGCUUGACUGCGAGCGUGACGGCGCGAGCAGGUGCGAAAGCAGGUCAUAGUGAUCCGGUGGUUCUGAAUGGAAGGGCCAUCGCUCAACGGAUAAAAGGUACUCCGGGGAUAACAGGCUGAUACCGCCCAAGAGUUCAUAUCGACGGCGGUGUUUGGCACCUCGAUGUCGGCUCAUCACAUCCUGGGGCUGAAGUAGGUCCCAAGGGUAUGGCUGUUCGCCAUUUAAAGUGGUACGCGAGCUGGGUUUAGAACGUCGUGAGACAGUUCGGUCCCUAUCUGCCGUGGGCGCUGGAGAAUUGAGGGGGGCUGCUCCUAGUACGAGAGGACCGGAGUGGACGCAUCACUGGUGUUCGGGUUGUCAUGCCAAUGGCACUGCCCGGUAGCUAAAUGCGGAAGAGAUAAGUGCUGAAAGCAUCUAAGCACGAAACUUGCCCCGAGAUGAGUUCUCCCUGAGACUUUAAGUCUCCUGAAGGAACGUUGAAGACGACGACGUUGAUAGGCCGGGUGUGUAAGCGCAGCGAUGCGUUGAGCUAACCGGUACUAAUGAACCGUGAGGCUUAACCUU